This 253-nucleotide ribosomal RNA is filed under the name Graphis pulverulenta. RNAcentral's name for it is "partial 28S large subunit ribosomal RNA". It matches the Rfam family "Eukaryotic large subunit ribosomal RNA", at positions 143 to 393 of the family's 3401-position model. The record is from RNAcentral. Lineage: Eukaryota; Fungi; Ascomycota; Lecanoromycetes; Ostropales; Graphidaceae.
UUGUAAUUUGGAGNAGAUGUUUCGGAGGAGAUGAUGGUCCAAGUCCCUUGGAANAGGGCGUCACAGAGGGUGAGAAUCCCGUACGUGACCAAUCAUUGAAACCAAGGGAAACCCUUUCGACGAGUCGAGUUGUUUGGGAAUGCAGCUCUAAAUGGGUGGUAAAUUUCAUCUAAAGCUAAAUACCUGCCAGACACCGAUAGCGCACAAGUAGAGUGAUCGAAAGAUGAAAAGCACUUUGAAAAGACAGUCAAAC